RNAcentral lists this transfer RNA (66 nucleotides) under Bivetiella cancellata. RNAcentral describes it as "tRNA-Glu". It matches the Rfam family "tRNA". Rfam says of the family: Transfer RNA (tRNA) molecules are approximately 80 nucleotides in length. Their secondary structure includes four short double-helical elements and three loops (D, anti-codon, and T loops). The record is from RNAcentral. Lineage: Eukaryota; Metazoa; Mollusca; Gastropoda; Neogastropoda; Cancellariidae.
GUUUCUAUGGUGUAAGGAGCACGUUAGAUUUUCAUUCUAAAAGAAUAGAUUUAUCUAUUAGAAACA